Molecule: ribosomal RNA, 499 nt
Filed under: uncultured bacterium
Lineage: Bacteria
Description: partial 16S ribosomal RNA
Rfam family: Bacterial small subunit ribosomal RNA
Source: RNAcentral
GACGAACGCUGGCGGCGUGCCUAAUACAUGCAAGUCGAGCGAAGUUUUUCUGGUGCUUGCACCGGAAAAACUUAGCGGCGCACGGGUGAGUAACACGUAAAGAACCUGCCUCAUAGACUGGGACAACUAUUGGAAACGAUAGCUAAUACCGGAUAAUAGCAUUAACUGCAUGGUUGAUGUUUAAAAGUUGGUUUUGCUAACACUAUGAGAUGGCUUUGCGGUGCAUUAGCUAGUUGGUGGGGUAAAGGCCUACCAAGGCGACGAUGCAUAGCCGACCUGAGAGGGUGAUCGGCCACACUGGGACUGAGACACGGCCCAGACUCCUACGGGAGGCAGCAGUAGGGAAUCUUCCGCAAUGGGCGAAAGCCUGACGGAGCAACGCCGCGUGAGUGAAGAAGGAUUUCGGUUCGUAAAGCUCUGUUGUUAAGGAAGAAUGAGUGUGUAGUAACUAUACACAGUAGAGACGGUACCUAACCAGAAAGCCACGGCUAACUACGUG